GUCAAACACGAAUAAAUUAUUACCUUGAAUUUCCUGAUAGUGGUAGGGGGGAGUGGGAGUGGGAGUGGUACAGAUCAAGUCGAAAGUUAAACAGAAUGGAAUGAAUAAAGGAAGGAAGGAAGGAAGGAAGGAAGGAAGAGCCCUACGUUGAGUCUAACUGUUGGACUUUAAGAUUGCUACUUUUAUGCUUCUCUUGCUAACUCCUUUAAUGCGUUGUACCAAAGUUUUUAUCCCUCGUUGCCGCGAGUACCGCGGGUGACUGCGGGCGAGCCAAGAGAGCGUCGAGAGCGAGAUGUGGUCCACGAUUUCACGUAAUUAGCAAGGUAUAAGCCCGGCCUUAGCUGCCUGGAUGCGAACAAGCCCGCCGGAAAAUGGGAAAUAAGAUGAAACUAAAAGAGAAUUGGGACACGGAAACGAAAGGUACCCCUGACCGUUCAAGAUACCCGAAAACUAAACGACCUUCGCAUUGCCCUCCAUGUGGGCGGCAGCCCAAAGUUUCAUUCCCGUCAACCCGGAUCAUGGGGGAAAUUAGCUAUUCACCGAGAGAAUUUUCGCUGAUAAGUCUCGGUGUACGUACGUACGUAUGUAUAAUAUACCGAAUUUCAAGGAAAAUGGGAUUACGGAAAACUUGGAGACGAGAAAAAAAAAAGAAAGAAAAAAAAACAAAAAAACAGUCGAAUGGCUCGGCAAUUAGAAGAAUGAGUUUCUCACCGGGGCACCGAGUCGUCCGACUUCUACAACUCAUUACGGAUUUAUUUUCACUUUACUCUCGACCCCCACCACCACGACCACUAGGAAUAUCUGGUGCAUCCGGAGCAUUACAGCAACUACAUCGCCAUUAGCUACGCAGCCUGAUCCUUGACGUUCCGAGUGCAGUAAAAAUCCACCACAUCGGGAAAUCUGUAAGGCUUUUGGUACUUCUUUUAUACCUCGCGCGCUCCGGAUCUUGAUGAGAGAAUGAUUCAAGGUAGACGUCAGACACUGGAUACCAGACAUCGGACACCAGACACCAGACACCGACCAUCAGGCACCCCAUUAGCGUCAACCCGAGACCAUCCAGCUUCCAAUCGUGGACACGCUCGACUAUGGGCUCGACGGAGUAGCGGAUGACGAGAAGGAAUGGACACGGGUGGAUGGCUGCGUAUAAUACGGCGUACGUUUUGCUACAUAAAUAAAUACCGUCGUGUAACGUUGGAUGCACGACGUUAUACACCGGCGGCCUGCUGAAAUAUAGCGCGACGGUCAAAAGAGGGACGAUUGAGGGACUCAAUUAAUACGAACCGAGAGUCCGCCGGGUUGAAAGCGGAGGCGGCUGCGGAGAAAGCACACGAGGGGUCAGACCGUUCGAACGUUCAUAGAAAUUACGAAUUACGUAACUGUGUUACCGAUUCUUCGAGAAAAGGGUGAAACUAAUUUUAGAAGUACUUAAUCCACGCCCGGAGAGGGUUAAGGCGACUGCGGGAGAUCCGAUCCGAAGUCCGGAGGCUGAAAGCUAGAGAUGGAGAAGGUCAGGCGUUCCGAACUCUCGAAGAUUUCGAGGAUCCCUCAAUGGAGGAGAGGGAGGUAAGAAAAAAAAGGGGGAAAAACUCGCGAGAAAAAUUGAACCGGAAAAAAAUGAAAGAAAAUAAAUAAAAAUAGCUGUAAAAAAAAAAAAAAAAAAAAAACGAACUUAUAUAUACCAAUUCAAUUAAAGAGAACAAAUACUGGUGUUUACCACCGACGACGUGAGCAGCCAGUGAAAUUGGUCUGGGAAUUUGCUCGUCAAAUAUUACGUAAAAAUUUAAUUAAAUGAAAGUAAAAUACAAAAGCUUUUCACCAUCCCUUAGAAACUGUGAGAGAAGAACGGAUGUAAUAGAAGUCGGUAUCGUUACGAAAUAAGUCUCGUAUUUGUUGUGCGCCUUGUUUAUAAUACCGUCUCAUCAUUCUUCAAACAC
Long non-coding RNA from Athalia rosae (coleseed sawfly), 1934 nucleotides. RefSeq lists it as uncharacterized. The record is from RefSeq and is a predicted model, not a curated record. The transcript has 4 exons. Lineage: Eukaryota; Metazoa; Arthropoda; Insecta; Hymenoptera; Athaliidae.